GCUCUGGGCGGCUCAGUCAGGAGAGCCUGAGACUCUUAAACUCAGGGUUGCUGGUUUGAGCCCCGUGCGGGGCA
Podarcis lilfordi (Lilford's wall lizard) is the source of this 74-nucleotide non-coding RNA. Lineage: Eukaryota; Metazoa; Chordata; Lepidosauria; Squamata; Lacertidae. The record is from the annotation of a GenBank genome assembly.